Molecule: RNA transcript, 1928 nt
Organism: Myotis brandtii (Brandt's bat)
Lineage: Eukaryota; Metazoa; Chordata; Mammalia; Chiroptera; Vespertilionidae
Gene: GTF2F2
Gene name: general transcription factor IIF, polypeptide 2, 30kDa
Exons: 11
Source: RefSeq, a predicted model, not a curated record
AGCCGUACUGACGGUGGAAGUGCGCAAGCGCAGUUCCGGGCUCCCAGCGGCGGGUUCCUCUUUCCCGGGGUUUCCACCUUCCUGGCAUCUGGGCGCCGAGGCGUCGGCCUCUCUCCGCGGCUCGCGUCGUGCUCCGGACACUCACCCCCAGCACCCAGCCCCCAGCACCCGAGCCCUGCUGUGGGUCGCACUCCUCUUCCGGCAACACACCCAUGGCGGAGCGUGGGGAACUCGACCUGACCGGUGCCAAGCAGAACACCGGAGUGUGGCUGGUCAAGGUUCCUAAAUAUUUGUCACAGCAGUGGGCUAAAGCCCCUGGAAGAGGUGAAGUCGGGAAACUGCGGAUUGCUAAGAAUCAAGGAAGGACUGAGGUGUCAUUUACUUUGAAUGAGGAUCUUGCAAAUAUUCAUGAUAUUGGUGGAAAACCAGCUUCAGUCAGCGCUCCUAGAGAACACCCAUUUGUCUUGCAAAGUGUUGGAGGACAAACAUUAACAGUAUUUACUGAGAGCUCUGCAGAUAAGCUUUCAUUGGAAGGAAUAGUGGUACAAAGAGCUGAAUGCCGACCUGCUGCAAGUGAAAACUACAUGAGAUUAAAGAGACUGCAAAUAGAAGAAUCUUCUAAACCCGUACGGCUAUCACAACAACUGGAUAAAGUUGUGACAACCAAUUACAAACCUGUUGCCAAUCAUCAAUACAAUAUUGAAUAUGAAAGGAAAAAGAAAGAAGAUGGAAAACGAGCUCGAGCUGAUAAACAGUAUGUUUUAGACAUGCUAUUUUCGGCUUUUGAGAAACAUCAGUAUUAUAAUCUUAAGGACUUGGUGGACAUCACAAAACAGCCUGUGGUCUACCUGACGGAAAUCUUAAAAGAAAUUGGUAUUCAGAAUGUGAAAGGGAUCCACAAAAACACAUGGGAGCUGAAGCCAGAGUAUAGACAUUAUCAAGGAGAAGAAAAGAGUGAUUAAGAAGACUCCAAGCCAGCAUGCUAACAGAACAACUAAGGGUGAUGUGUUAAGCAUACGGCAUUGAUACUUGAACUUGAGCACCAUGUGUUAUAGGGGCAAAAUGACUGAAACUUUAAUUUCUCUAGAGAUUCAUCUGAAAGUCUACAGACCUCAGCCUGCAAGCUUAGUGUAUUGAAAUGAAAACACCUCUGCUUUGUGGAUGUCUCAAGGAGCAUGCAGUUGAAAAUGGAUACCAAGGAAUCGACUGGGAGAGGACAGAAGAGAAAAACAAGAUUAUUUUAACCUGCGCUGAGAACUCGGAAUGAAUCCACGCUGACACUGACCUGGACCCCUUGUGAGAAGCCCCUGCCCUCAUCUGAAGCCCAACGGUGAAAUAGCCAAAACUAUUAACAGGGAUGAAAAAACUCAGGACCUAGGAAAACCAAUAUUGGCUAAUGACAGUUGUUUUUAUCAAACAGACCAAAUGGUAACUCCAGUUUGGGAUAAAACAAAGGUAAAUAUUGACUGGUCCUGAAGCCCUUGCUAACUGGUUUAGAACCCUGUGUGUUCAGGUGCCCCAAGACCAGAUCUCCCUCCCCCCUUCCCCCUUGCACCCACCCACCCCAGGGCCAUCAGAGCAGGCAAGAGUUCUGUCCACCCCUGCAUAGCCAGCCCUGUAUCCCCCUUCUCCCCCCCACAUCCUGGUUUUCCUGAUUAGGUCCCUCCUUAGGCUGAGUGUCCCAGUGUAAACUGAGAGGAAGGAGUACUUUUGCCAUGAGCAUGAAGUUACCCUUGAAAAUACCAGUCCUGUCAUUUGGGGUUUUAGGUCUCUAGGUUCUUUCUCUUACAAGGUCUACUCCAAUUUCCUUGCCCUUCAAGGUUCAGCUUCUACGUUUGAGAAGAUGAGAACACAAAGAAUAGAUGGAGAAAACACUUUUUCAUGGUCACUCCUUGGAAGAUAGGCACUUUGAAUCAUACCUUAAGUCC